Neoarius graeffei (lesser salmon catfish) is the source of this 429-nucleotide long non-coding RNA. RefSeq lists it as uncharacterized. The record is from RefSeq and is a predicted model, not a curated record. NCBI's taxonomy places the organism in Eukaryota, Metazoa, Chordata, Actinopteri, Siluriformes, Ariidae. The transcript has 3 exons.
AGAAGAGGAAGAAGACUCCGAAGCCGGAUAGAAGAGAAAAUGGGGGAAAAAGAAGAUAAAGACAGAAAACGCAAGAAAUCUGCUGCUACUUUGUCCCAAAAUAUUGGCGCCAUGUUCCAAAAAAGGGCCAAAAUGGAUUGGAACUGAUGAGUGUUCUGAUGCCAUAAACAACAACUGAAGUGAGCAACAGAGACAGACAACAACAGACAGACAGAGGAGGGGAGAGCAACAACAGAGACAGACAAUGAAAGAGAGAAACAACAGACAACUGAGUAACCGCGCCCUAUUUAAGGAGGCAGAAGGAGAGCAGAGGGGAGAGCUCAUCCCGGGAUUAGAACACAGCGUGCGCGCGUGUGUGUGUUUCUCUCAAGAAUAAAAGUAGGCUGUUAAACUGAAAGUCUGACAAUAAAAAGCCUAUUAGUACCAGAA